CAUUUAUCAUUUUCCUUUAUUCCCAUAGUGCUUUGGUCAGUGUUUCUUGGAUGUCCACAAGGAAACUCUUCCUCUUUGAAGUAUUACCUUCUCCUGCCCAGUCACCCUGCUGACGUGGGUCAGAAGAGCAAAGAAUUUCAAACAUGUUCACCAAAGCCUGGGAUUAUCUCUUUAGCUUUCAUUUUAGAAACUUCCCUCCCAUUUGUUUCUUAUUUCUUCAUAGCUCCUAUGAAUUGAACACAUAAGCAUGCACACAAAUACACAAACACACAGGCACACACACACACACAUGUGACACUCUCACAGUAAUGCAGACACACAUAGACACA
This 329-nucleotide long non-coding RNA is filed under the name Homo sapiens (human). Its description in RNAcentral is "HSALNT0265571". Lineage: Eukaryota; Metazoa; Chordata; Mammalia; Primates; Hominidae. The record is from RNAcentral.